GACGAACGCUGGCGGCGUGCCUAAUACAUGCAAGUUGAGCGCUGAAGGUUGGUACUUGUACCAACUGGAUGAGCAGCGAACGGGUGAGUAACGCGUGGGGAAUCUGCCUUUGAGCGGGGGACAACAUUUGGAAACGAAUGCUAAUACCGCAUAAAAACUUUAAACACAAGUUUUAAGUUUGAAAGAUGCAAUUGCAUCACUCAAAGAUGAUCCCGCGUUGUAUUAGCUAGUUGGUGAGGUAAAGGCUCACCAAGGCGAUGAUACAUAGCCGACCUGAGAGGGUGGUCGGCCACAUUGGGACUGAGACACGGCCCAAACUCCUACGGGAGGCAGCAGUAGGGAAUCUUCGGCAAUGGACGAAAGUCUGACCGAGCAACGCCGCGUGAGUGAAGAAGGUUUUCGGAUCGUAAAACUCUGUUGGUAGAGAAGAACGUUGGUGAGAGUGGAAAGCUCAUCAAGUGACGGUAACUACCCAGAAAGGGGCGGCUAACUACGUG
RNAcentral lists this ribosomal RNA (497 nucleotides) under uncultured bacterium. RNAcentral describes it as "partial 16S ribosomal RNA". It matches the Rfam family "Bacterial small subunit ribosomal RNA", at positions 28 to 507 of the family's 1533-position model. The record is from RNAcentral.